AAAAAAUAUUGUUCGUCAUACGGUCAAACAAAAUUUUUCUGACUAAUAACGAAAUAUACUAUGUGAGGAGAGGAAUGAAACUGCUGAGAAAGCCAAGGCUGAUCAUAAAAUUAAGGGGAGAUUACAGAAGGACCAGUUGAGUGGACUUUAUCAUGGAAAAAAUAGAAAUGAAAUCAUCAAGGGAAAGAAUUUUCACAAAGUGCAAAACAUCACCGAUUCCGGGUCACCACUCAUCUAAUCACCAGAUCCUAGUCCAUCUACACCACGUGACUAGUAAUAGUAGCAGAAGGUGCCCUCCAGAGAAGCCCUCGAAAAGAUGUUGAAAGAGUCUAGGAGCUAUUAACAACGAGGGCUACAUCCUGUCGAGGUAUACCAGACACCAGGUCGUAAAAAAAUGCUGGGUGGGAGUUCAUUCCUUGUUGAACUGUUGCUCUUUGGGGUCGUGGGCUGAGAAGCAAGUAAUGUGGGAGAAGUUGGCCUGAGCGUACCAUCCUUGAGAAAAGAUAUUUUACAGAUUAGCGUUGGGGGAUGCAACGAAACAAUUAUAUCCCCACCUGUGAUAAGAGCACCGUCAACCAUCACAAUUCAGGUCAAGUCAAGAGAUCCAAUUCAAUCAACCCCAACGACAAGAGCGUUCGUAAUCCCAGCCCCAAGUGGACACAUCCUUCAGAAUAUCAGAACCAGAAUUUCGGAACGUGAAAACAGCACAUCAGCUCUAUAUCAGUGGACAACUUUUAGGGGAUUGUCCAGUGCAUCUAUGGAAAAUUGAACCCCUCAAUGAAGAACGAGUUAUUGUCGUGAUCGUGAUGCCAGAGAAAAUUCAAACCAAGUACAAUAGACGUUCCAAAUGUAAAGUUAUGAUUGGAAAUGCUAAAAUUGGAAUUUGGAACAAUCAUUCUUGAAAUCAUUCGAAAUCCCUUCAUACAAUUUCUAAUCACUUAAUUCAUCAUUUAAUUACAGGUGGAAAAACAUUUAUGGGGGCUGAUGACCAACAGUGAUAUUUCACCCCUUAAGGCCCUAAUUUCCUCUCACAUCGUUUUUAUCUCUAUAUUAAUAAUAUUAGAUGAUAAGAUAAAUGAGAAAACAAUGAAAAAAUAAUUAAUGAACUGCAUUU
Diachasma alloeum is the source of this 1114-nucleotide long non-coding RNA. RefSeq lists it as uncharacterized. The record is from RefSeq and is a predicted model, not a curated record. Lineage: Eukaryota; Metazoa; Arthropoda; Insecta; Hymenoptera; Braconidae. The transcript is spliced from 3 exons.